GGGUCAGGAGGUUGGUCGUGCCACCGGUACGUACUGGUCUCACUGAUUCCUCCUUCCUGAAGAACCGUAAUGCCAUUAAUUUGGUGUUGCGGGGAAACAGGACUGUUACUUUGAAAAAAUUAGAGUGUUUAAAGCAAGCUAACGCUUGAAUACAUUAGCAUGGAAUAAUGAAAUAGGACGAUCGAUCCUAUUUUGUUGGUUCCUAGGAUUGACGUA
Molecule: ribosomal RNA, 216 nt
Filed under: Glomeromycotina sp.
Lineage: Eukaryota; Fungi; Glomeromycota
Description: partial small subunit ribosomal RNA
Rfam family: Eukaryotic small subunit ribosomal RNA (bases 40-216)
Source: RNAcentral